GGGUCAGUAGGUUGGUCGUGCCACCGGUACGUACUGGUCUCACUGAUCCCUCCUUCCUGAAGAACCGUAAUGCCAUUAAUUUGGUGUUGCGGGGAAACAGGACUGUUACUUUGAAAAAAUUAGAGUGUUUAAAGCAAGCUAACGCUUGAAUACAUUAGCAUGGAAUAAUGAAUUAGGACGAUCGAUCCUAUUUUGUUGGUUUCUAGGAUUGACGUA
RNAcentral lists this ribosomal RNA (216 nucleotides) under Glomeromycotina sp. RNAcentral describes it as "partial small subunit ribosomal RNA". The stretch from base 54 to 216 matches the Rfam family "Eukaryotic small subunit ribosomal RNA", at positions 700 to 864 of the family's 1831-position model. Lineage: Eukaryota; Fungi; Glomeromycota. The record is from RNAcentral.